GACGAACGCUGGCGGCGUGCCUAAUACAUGCAAGUAGAACGCACAGUUUAUACCGUAGCUUGCUACACCAUAAACUGUGAGUUGCGAACGGGUGAGUAACGCGUAGGUAACCUGCCUGGUAGCGGGGGAUAACUAUUGGAAACGAUAGCUAAUACCGCAUAAUAUUGAUUAUUGCAUGAUAAUUGAUUGAAAGAUGCUAUUGCAUCACUACCAGAUGGACCUGCGUUGUAUUAGCUAGUAGGUGAGGUAACGGCUCACCUAGGCGACGAUACAUAGCCGACCUGAGAGGGUGAUCGGCCACACUGGGACUGAGACACGGCCCAGACUCCUACGGGAGGCAGCAGUAGGGAAUCUUCGGCAAUGGACGAAAGUCUGACCGAGCAACGCCGCGUGAGUGAAGAAGGUUUUCGGAUCGUAAAGCUCUGUUGUAAGAGAAGAACGGGUGUGAGAGUGGAAAGUCCACACUGUGACGGUAGCUUACCAGAAAGGGACGGCUAACUACGUG
Molecule: ribosomal RNA, 505 nt
Filed under: uncultured bacterium
Lineage: Bacteria
Description: partial 16S ribosomal RNA
Rfam family: Bacterial small subunit ribosomal RNA
Source: RNAcentral